GGAGAGGUCUGACAGAGCGACGCCGCGUGGAUGAUGAAGGCCGUCGGGUUGUAAAGUCCUUUUGCUGGGGAAGAAUAAGCGAGGGAGGGAAUGCCCGCGUGAUGACAUGAACCGGCGAAUAAGCCCCGGCUAACUACGUGCCAGCAGCCGCGGUAACACGUAGGGGGCAAGCGUUGUUCGGAAUUACUGGGCGUAAAGGGCAUGUAGGCGGCCUUGUAAGCUUGGCGUGAAAGUCCACGGCUUAACCGUGGGAUUGCGUUGAGAACUGCGAGGCUUGAGUGACGGAGAGGGAGCUAGAAUUCCUGGUGUAGGGGUGGAAUCUGUAGAGAUCAGGAAGAAUACCAAUGGCGAAGGCAAGCUCCUGGCCGAUGACUGACGCUGAGGUGCGAAAGUGUGGGGAUCAAACAGGAUUAGAUACCCUGGUAGUCCACACUGUAAACGAUGUGCACUAGGUGCUGGGGCGGAUGCUUCAGUGCCGUAGCUAACGUGAUAAGUGCACCGCCUGGGGAGUAUGCUCGCAAGGGUG
Molecule: ribosomal RNA, 526 nt
Filed under: Spirochaetes bacterium enrichment culture
Lineage: Bacteria; Pseudomonadati; Spirochaetota
Description: bacterial SSU rRNA
Rfam family: Bacterial small subunit ribosomal RNA
Source: RNAcentral